Molecule: ribosomal RNA, 505 nt
Filed under: uncultured bacterium
Lineage: Bacteria
Description: partial 16S ribosomal RNA
Rfam family: Bacterial small subunit ribosomal RNA
Source: RNAcentral
GACGAACGCUGGCGGCGUGCCUAAUACAUGCAAGUAGAACGCACAGUUUAUACCGUAGCUUGCUACACCAUAGACUGUGAGUUGCGAACGGGUGAGUAACGCGUAGGUAACCUGCCUGGUAGCGGGGGAUAACUAUUGGAAACGAUAGCUAAUACCGCAUAAUAUUGAUUAUUGCAUGAUAAUUGAUUGAAAGAUGCUAUUGCAUCACUACCAGAUGGACCUGCGUUGUAUUAGCUAGUAGGUGAGGUAACGGCUCACCUAGGCGACGAUACAUAGCCGACCUGAGAGGGUGCUCGGCCAAACUGGGAAUGAGACACGGCCCAGACUCCUACGGGAGGCAGCAGUAGGGAAUCUUCGGCAAUGGACGAAAGUCUGACCGAGCAACGCCGCGUGAGUGAAGAAGGUUUUCGGAUCGUAAAGCUCUGUUGUAAGAGAAGAACGGGUGUGAGAGUGGAAAGUUCACACUGUGACGGUAUCUUACCAGAAAGGGACGGCUAACUACGUG